AUUGAACGCUGGCGGCAUGCCUUACACAUGCAAGUCGAACGGCAGCACGGACUUCGGUCUGGUGGCGAGUGGCGAACGGGUGAGUAAUGUAUCGGAACGUACCUUUCAGUGGGGGGAUAACGUAGCGAAAGUUACGCUAAUACCGCAUAUUCUGUGAGCAGGAAAGCAGGGGAUCGCAAGACCUUGCGCUGAUUGAGCGGCCGAUAUCAGAUUAGCUAGUUGGUGAGGUAAAGGCUCACCAAGGCGACGAUCUGUAGCGGGUCUGAGAGGAUGAUCCGCCACACUGGAACUGAGACACGGUCCAGACUCCUACGGGAGGCAGCAGUGGGGAAUUUUGGACAAUGGGGGCAACCCUGAUCCAGCCAUGCCGCGUGAGUGAAGAAGGCCUGGUGUAAG
RNAcentral lists this ribosomal RNA (396 nucleotides) under uncultured bacterium. RNAcentral's name for it is "bacterial SSU rRNA". It matches the Rfam family "Bacterial small subunit ribosomal RNA", at positions 30 to 429 of the family's 1533-position model. The record is from RNAcentral.